GACGAACGCUGGCGGCGUGCUUAACACAUGCAAGUCGAACGGAAAGGCCCUGCUUUUGUGGGGUGCUCGAGUGGCGAACGGGUGAGUAACACGUGAGUAACCUGCCCUUGACUUUGGGAUAACUUCAGGAAACUGGGGCUAAUACCGGAUAGGAGCUCCUGCUGCACGGUGGGGGUUGGAAAGUUUCGGCGGUGGGGGCUGGACUCGCUGGUUAUCCGCUUGUUGGUGGGGUAGUGGCUUACCAAGGCUUUGACGGGUAGCCGGCCUGGGAGCGUGACCGGCCACAUUGGGACUGCGAUACGGCCCAGACUCCAACGGGAGGCAGCAGUGGGGAAUAUUGCACAAUGGGCGGAAGCCUGAUGCAGCAACGCCGCGUGCGGGAUGACGGCCUUCGGGUUGUAAACCGCUUUCGCAUGUGACGAAGCGUGAGUGACGGUAAUGGGUAAAGAAGCACCGGCUAACUACGUG
This 468-nucleotide ribosomal RNA is filed under the name uncultured bacterium. Its description in RNAcentral is "partial 16S ribosomal RNA". It matches the Rfam family "Bacterial small subunit ribosomal RNA", at positions 28 to 507 of the family's 1533-position model. The record is from RNAcentral.